GACAGCGGCCGGGGACAUCCUGUUGGGAGCCCAGGGCAGGGGCAUUCUGUUCCUCACCGCCGUCCAGGGCUCGCUCCUGGAAUUUUCUUCCAGGAAAAUUCCCAACAGCCUUAAUGGGAAGGAUACAAGAGGGACGUGUGUAGGAAUGUUCAAGAGCAGAGCUUUUACUGACAUAAGUAUGUAUGAAGUGCAGGCUUUGGAAGUGAACUGCUAGUUCACAAAGUCAGCUUAAAAAUUGCACUGUGAGAUGUAACUCCUGCAAUUUUCUAUUUGAGUUUUAGCUGAAAAAAGGAUUAAGAAUACAAUGUCACUUAUGCAGAAAACCACAACAAUGCAUAGUACUUAUUUCAAGAACAUGCAGUAAAGUAUUUGUGAAUGGUCCCACAAGAAGAUUAACUAAAUUAGGAAGUAACCAAAUAUUCAAAAGGAAAGGAGAAAUCCAAGAAUUGAAUGAUCUGCACAGACACUUCAUAAACAGAUCCAACAGGCAACAUUUUCCCAAGAGAUUGCUCAUGGAAAUUAUUUGCUUCAUUUCAGUUGUUAACAAGCAUGAGCAGCUGAGCUCCACCUCCUCUGCAGCGCAGAAGUGAUCUCCAAGGCUUUUUCCUACCAGCAUUACCAGAAAAUGAAUGAAUUAGGUUUGGACAGGUCCUCCUCUGUUAUUUUACUGACUCUCAAAUCCAUCUGGCUGCUUUGAGUAAAUGUGGGGGAAAAACAUGAAAAAAUAUAUAUCCUGGGUUUACUUUGAUCUCUAAAAAUAAGGACAAUCAAUUUUAGGUAUAUAAUAAUAUUGCUAACCUCUGUUCACUAAGCAAUCCUUGCUUUUUCCUUGGUUCUCAGUUUGACACAUCUCCAGCAUGAAAUGGACUCAGAUUGCCAUGAAACUGAAAGCUCUGAGUGUGGAAAUUGGGGAAUGCAUAGACAGAUUCCUUUUUCCUUUUUAAACAUAUACCAAUGAAUAAGCCUUUUUAUUUUUUUUUCCCCUCUCACAAGUUUUCUGAAUUUCUUGGUAAAUAUCACUACAAACCUCGGCUAGAAAGCCCAAAGCAAUUUCCUUUAGGGGACUUCUGUUAGAGCCACAGAAUAUCAAAGGUGAAAAACCAGAGAUUGAUUCAACCCUGAAAUGGUACACUGAUCCUGGUGAAAGCUACCACGAAGAUCAGGUCACUUUUUGACAUGAGCUUUGCCAAUGGGAAAGCAAGAGAAAAGCAGGAGAUCACUGCAGAGUUCUAAAAAGAGCCAGGAAGCAGCUGCAAAUGUUCUGAUACUGACAUACAUGUUUGGCCACCAUGAGGGGUUUAAAGGAGCAAGCAUGGGUGUAGAGGUAAAUCUCAGAAAGGAUGGGCAAGUUAAACUACAGCUGUAAGGUGCAUUGUCUGGUCAAAGUUGUAGGAUAGCUUUCUUGUCUAUUAAACAUGGUUCAGAAAAUUUAAAAAUAUAAAAAUGUAAAAUAAAAUAUGAACAUGAAACACUUUGAUUUACAGUAUUUCUAGUUCCUUUAGUGCACAGUAAACUUCUGUACCAUUGUUACCUGAGGCAUACGUGAUGCUUUUUAGGAAGAGACAAUUGCUCAACUAUUGGCAGAGUAUUCUUUGCAAUCUUUAUGGCAUACUGAUUGAAUCAAUCUGCUGCAUGUGACAUCUUGACAGAGCACAUUUAAGAUGGGUAGGAAGAAUUCCUGCUUCCAACACUUGCACUGAAGUAAAACCUUCCUUACUUGAGCAGUCCAUCCCAGCCUAGAUGGGCAGGUUCUAUGGGAAAGGCAAGGAGCAUUUUCUUGCCAGCUUACACACAUAUGGUGGAGGGUAGGACACUUGUAAAAAACUUCCAUGAGCCCAUGGCUGGGGAUCUGCCUCUUUAAUGGCCAAGAAGCCACUAAACAUUUCAUAAUAACCAUAAUUCCUGGAAACAGAAACACUGAAUGACACAGAACUUACUACUUUUUUUUUUAAUACACUCUGUUACCUAAAUCUUGCCAUAUACAAUUUCAGGACUACUAAGAAAAUCUGCAAUAUAUUUCAUAGUUUUUACAGUGAAAGCAGAAGCUAUGUCUAAACACAUAGAGGAGGGAGUGAAAAGCAUGAUGGGUAUUGAAGUUUAUCAUAUAUUUGUCUGCAACCAGGACCAGCCCUAGUGAUGUCCUCACAAAGUUUGGGCACCCAACUGUUGAUUGCCUCAAUUAACAGGCAUCCAAAAUCUAAGGCUGCUCAGAUACCUUAAGAGUAUCUGAAAAAAAUGUCCAUAAACUGGAGAUAUUUGCCUAUAUGUAUUUAAACAUUAUCAAUGUUAUGGAGAAAAAACAAAGUCCUUCAAGUUAUGUUCCAGCUAUGUUAAUUUUAAUUGAAGAGGUUUGGAGAUAAAUAUGUGUUACAGAUUCUACAGAGAUUUUGCUACCAAUAGCAAAGCAAUUUCUUGCCUAAUGUCAUUAAGUGAAUAAUAUGAACAGGAAUUGAGAAACUCAGUAAUUUCUAAAAUUAGUGAAUACUUCAGUUCUUCUUCUUCUGACUAUCCUUUAAUGAAACUUUAUGUCAAAGUAGUUGCAAAUUACCUAGUAAUUAAACAUUCAAAAUAGUUAUGGAACAUAUAUUUUUGUGAAAUGCCUGUUUUCAUUAGUUAGCAUUUAUAUGUUUUGCUACACGACUGCAUUUUUAAAGUUGCCUCACCUUUGAAAAUAUCUCAAAUAUUAAAAUAUCUCAAAUAUUUAAUUUUACUUAUUAUUAUUGUAAUUUGUUGUAAUUUGGAAAUAAGACUGUGACAAGCUCAGGUAAAACAUGCUAAUAAGGGACUAAUAUGUAGUAGAAAAGAAUAAGUGCAUUAAUACAUCUCCACAUGCUAGUGACUAGUAGCUGCUCUUAAUCUUCCAUUUUUUUUCUUCCAUAAUUCACCUACUUAUCCUCAUAAUAUCUCCUUUUUAAAAGUCUUUCUUCACUGUGGCAGUUCAUGAAGACAAAUCCAAUGUAAGAAAGAUAUUUACAUAUUAAAUAGGUAGAAAACUGUUACUCUGUUUUGCAACUGAGAAUGUCAAACCAAAGAACUUCACUAUACUUUUCCUUUUGUAAUCUCUUUUUAUGAGUUCAGUAUGAGAGAUAUGACCAUGAUUUGGAACAUUGUUGUUUCAUUUAAUUUGCAUCCAAGAGCCACAGAGCCGUCUACCUUCCUGCUUUUAUAUGUGCUGUUAGGAAUAUUAGAGAAGAAUGGCAUGUUCCUUGCUGUGACAUAUGCUUUCCAGGCAGGUUUAGUUGAAUCACUUAAUGCAAGAUCCACAGAGACAUCCAGACCCAGAGCCAACCUACUUAAUUUUAAAUUUGAAUAUAAAAUGAAGUGAGUGUCCCCAGAAAGGGCUUUGAUAAUCUGAUAUUCAGGAUUUGCCUAAAAGGUAGAAAAAGUGUAUCUGAUUUCCUUUAAGUAGAAAAAGCAACUGAGCCUUGCUCUUCCUCAUUAGACCCCUACAUUAAAGAAUAAGUAACCUUU
Passer domesticus (house sparrow) is the source of this 3471-nucleotide long non-coding RNA. RefSeq lists it as uncharacterized. NCBI's taxonomy places the organism in Eukaryota, Metazoa, Chordata, Aves, Passeriformes, Passeridae. The record is from RefSeq and is a predicted model, not a curated record. The transcript has 2 exons.